UACGGGGGGAGCAAGCGUUGUUCGGAUUUACUGGGCGUAAAGGGCGCGUAGGCGGCGUGACAAGUCACUUGUGAAAUCUCCGGGCUUAACUCGGAACGGUCAAGUGAUACUGUCGUGCUAGAGUACAGAAGGGGCAACUGGAAUUCUCGGUGUAGCGGUGAAAUGCGUAGAUAUCGAGAGGAACACCUGCGGCGAAGGCGGCACCCUGGGGCCAGUCCUGACGCUGAUGCGCGAAAGCGUGGGGAGCAAACAGG
RNAcentral lists this ribosomal RNA (254 nucleotides) under uncultured bacterium. Its description in RNAcentral is "partial 16S ribosomal RNA". It matches the Rfam family "Bacterial small subunit ribosomal RNA", at positions 524 to 776 of the family's 1533-position model. The record is from RNAcentral.